GUUUGAAAAAAAACUUAGAGGGCCAUUUUUUUUUCUCUCAACAGCCCUCUCAGGCCGGCCAUCGGGCCACGUGGCGGCCGCCAGUUACCGUUGGUGGUAGAGGAGUUGGUGGCUGACGUGGGAGGAGUGGUGGUGCCAGAGUAGAGAUUUAGGGUGCGGUGGCUAGGGUUAGAUUAGCUAUUAGGGUUUCUUUUGUUUUGCUAAAACUGGUUAAGUGUUUUGGGCCAUUGGGCCUCUUUUUUCAUUUGGGCUUUAAUAUUUUUAUUUUAGUUUGUAAUUUAUUUUUCAUUUAUUUGUAGAAUUGGGCCCGGGCGAAAUUGGGCCAUUACAAUA
Gossypium raimondii (Peruvian cotton) is the source of this 333-nucleotide long non-coding RNA. RefSeq lists it as uncharacterized. The record is from RefSeq and is a predicted model, not a curated record. NCBI's taxonomy places the organism in Eukaryota, Viridiplantae, Streptophyta, Magnoliopsida, Malvales, Malvaceae. The transcript has 2 exons.